This is a ribosomal RNA of 1237 nucleotides. It matches the Rfam family "Bacterial small subunit ribosomal RNA", at positions 8 to 1226 of the family's 1533-position model.
AGAGUUUGAUCCUGGCUCAGGACGAACGCUGGCGGCGUGCCUAAUACAUGCAAGUCGAGCGGACGGAAGGGAGCUUGCUCCCGGAAGUCAGCGGCGGACGGGUGAGUAACACGUGGGUAACCUGCCUGUAAGACUGGGAUAACUCCGGGAAACCGGGGCUAAUACCGGAUAGCUUUUUCCUCCGCAUGGAGGAAGAAUGAAAGGCGGCCUUUGGCUGUCACUUACAGAUGGACCCGCGGCGCAUUAGCUAGUUGGUGGGGUAACGGCUCACCAAGGCAACGAUGCGUAGCCGACCUGAGAGGGUGAUCGGCCACACUGGGACUGAGACACGGCCCAGACUCCUACGGGAGGCAGCAGUAGGGAAUCUUCCGCAAUGGACGAAAGUCUGACGGAGCAACGCCGCGUGAGUGAAGAAGGUUUUCGGAUCGUAAAGCUCUGUUGUCAGGGAAGAACAAGUACCGGAGUCACUGCCGGUACCUUGACGGUACCUGACCAGAAAGCCACGGCUAACUACGUGCCAGCAGCCGCGGUAAUACGUAGGUGGCAAGCGUUGUCCGGAAUUAUUGGGCGUAAAGCGCGCGCAGGCGGCCUUUUAAGUCUGAUGUGAAAGCCCACGGCUCAACCGUGGAGGGUCAUUGGAAACUGGAAGGCUUGAGUGCAGAAGAGGAGAGCGGAAUUCCACGUGUAGCGGUGAAAUGCGUAGAGAUGUGGAGGAACACCAGUGGCGAAGGCGGCUCUCUGGUCUGUAACUGACGCUGAGGCGCGAAAGCGUGGGGAGCGAACAGGAUUAGAUACCCUGGUAGUCCACGCCGUAAACGAUGAGUGCUAAGUGUUGGAGGGUUUCCGCCCUUCAGUGCUGCAGCUAACGCAUUAAGCACUCCGCCUGGGGAGUACGGCCGCAAGGCUGAAACUCAAAGGAAUUGACGGGGGCCCGCACAAGCGGUGGAGCAUGUGGUUUAAUUCGAAGCAACGCGAAGAACCUUACCAGGUCUUGACAUCCUCUGACACCUCUGGAGACAGAGCAUUCCCCUUCGGGGGACAGAGUGACAGGUGGUGCAUGGUUGUCGUCAGCUCGUGUCGUGAGAUGUUGGGUUAAGUCCCGCAACGAGCGCAACCCUUGACCUUAGUUGCCAGCAUUCAGUUGGGCACUCUAAGGUGACUGCCGGUGACAAACCGGAGGAAGGUGGGGAUGACGUCAAAUCAUCAUGCCCCUUAUGACCUGGGCUACACACGUGCU